Molecule: ribosomal RNA, 491 nt
Filed under: uncultured bacterium
Lineage: Bacteria
Description: bacterial SSU rRNA
Rfam family: Bacterial small subunit ribosomal RNA
Source: RNAcentral
GGCUCAGGAUGAACGCUAGCGGCAGGCUUAAUACAUGCAAGUCGAACGGGAUUCGGGGUAGCAAUACUUUGAUGAGAGUGGCGCACGGGUGCGUAACGCGUAUGCAACCUACCUUUAACAGGGGAAUAGCCCCGAGAAAUCGGGAUUAAUACUCCGUAACAUUGCGGUGUGGCAUCACACUGCACUUAAAGCUGAGGCGGUUAAAGAUGGGCAUGCGUGACAUUAGCUAGUUGGUGAGGUAACGGCUCACCAAGGCAACGAUGUCUAGGGGUCCUGAGAGGGUUAUCCCCCACACUGGUACUGAGACACGGACCAGACUCCUACGGGAGGCAGCAGUAAGGAAUAUUGGUCAAUGGGCGCAAGCCUGAACCAGCCAUGCCGCGUGCAGGAAGACGGCCCUAUGGGUUGUAAACUGCUUUUGUCAGGGAAUAAACCCCCGCUCGUGAGCGGGGCUGAAGGUACCUGAAGAAUAAGCAUCGGCUAACUCCGUG